This is a small nucleolar RNA of Diospyros lotus (date-plum), 107 nucleotides long. The record is from RefSeq and is a predicted model, not a curated record. NCBI's taxonomy places the organism in Eukaryota, Viridiplantae, Streptophyta, Magnoliopsida, Ericales, Ebenaceae.
AACCCAUGAUUUGGACACUUCCUUAGCAAUUCUUUGUACCGUUCCCAUGCUUCAUGAAAGUUCUCAAUUUCAGCUUGCUGGAAAGUCGAAAUUUCAUGCUUUAAUUU